AUACGGAGGGUGCAAGCGUUAUCCGGAAUCAUUGGGUUUAAAGGGUCCGCAGGCGGAUUAAUAAGUCAGUGGUGAAAUCCUCUCGCUCAACGAGAGAACUGCCAUUGAAACUGUUAGUCUUGAAUUUAGUCGAAGUAGGCGGAAUGUGUCAUGUAGCGGUGAAAUGCAUAGAUAUGACACAGAACGCCGAUAGCGAAGGCAGCUUACUAGACCUGGAUUGACGCUCAUGGACGAAAGCGUGGGGAGCGAACAGGAUUAGAAACCCUAGUAGUCC
RNAcentral lists this ribosomal RNA (274 nucleotides) under uncultured bacterium. Its description in RNAcentral is "partial 16S ribosomal RNA". It matches the Rfam family "Bacterial small subunit ribosomal RNA", at positions 523 to 796 of the family's 1533-position model. The record is from RNAcentral.